Molecule: long non-coding RNA, 921 nt
Organism: Oreochromis aureus
Lineage: Eukaryota; Metazoa; Chordata; Actinopteri; Cichliformes; Cichlidae
Source: Ensembl
GGAGGUUUUCCAGAGCUGUGGGACUCUUCCCAGCCUCAGGCUCAGGUUGAAGAGGUGCUCGAUCACCCCACACAGUUGGUCCGCGCAGGACCUGACGACCCUUGAGCUGAUGCCAUCUGGACCCGCUGCUUUCUUGGCAUUAAUCCUCCUCAGUUCCCUCCUAACCUGGGUGGUUGAGAGAGACAGGCUGGAGCCUUGUGUUGAGUGUGUAUUGGAUGCUGUUGUUCGGGGUGGGGAGGAGUGAGCAGGGUGAAUAGGGCUUUGGAGCGUGAUGUCACAGGAAGUGGGCCACGCCCCCUUCCGCCAUGACAGUAGGCUAGACACAGGAUACAGCUUCAGCUAUGGCUCGUACGUGAUGUGUUGUCAGUUGCAACGUUAGAUCACACGAUCGUGAAGGCAAGAAGCUGGAUAAUGGGCUCUCCUUUCAUCGUUUUCCAUCCUGGCGGCAACGUGAGGGAUCCCAUGUAUCCGAUAUUACUAAACAAAGACGUCAGGCUUGCAUUGCAGCGGUGAGACGAGCGGAUCGAGUUCUGUGCAAUCCCCAGCUUUUUGUUGGUUUGCUCUCCGCAUUUUCUUUCCGGCUUUUAUUAUGCAGCUGCAGAGUCUGAAGGUGUGCCCCUUGCAGAAGUAAUCGAUGAAGAUCAGACAGAAGAACAACAACAAAAUCACCAUGUCAUGGAGGCUGUGGACAGCAGUUGGGUUGGACAAGUGGAGGUUGAGGUACCAGCUGCAAAUGUGGACAGUGGCGAUCGGACAGCAUCACGGAAGCUAAAGGGCAGACUAAGGAUUGUGUGUGCAAUGCACAGGGCAGAGCAGAAAUAAACACAACACUGCUUGUAACUCCGAAAUGACAACACAGGCACAGCUUCUUCAAGACGGGCGCUUCGCUGCAUUUAUUGAACGCCGUGAAAACUACAAACA